RNAcentral lists this ribosomal RNA (253 nucleotides) under uncultured bacterium. Its description in RNAcentral is "partial 16S ribosomal RNA". It matches the Rfam family "Bacterial small subunit ribosomal RNA", at positions 524 to 776 of the family's 1533-position model. The record is from RNAcentral.
UACGUAGGUGGCAAGCGUUGUCCGGAAUUACUGGGUGUAAAGGGCGCGUAGGCGGGUAAAUAAGUCAGACGUGAAAUGCCACAGCCUAACUGUGGAACUGCGUUUGAAACUGUUUAUCUUGAGUGCAGGAGAGGAAAGCGGAAUUCCUAGUGUAGCGGUGAAAUGCGUAGAUAUUAGGAGGAACACCAGUGGCGAAGGCGGCUUUCUGGACUGUAACUGACGCUGAGUCGCGAAAGCGUGGGGAGCAAACAGG